GCAUCAGUAGCUUAACGCUCAGAGCGCCGGUCUUGUAAACCGGCAAGUGAAGGUUAAAAUCCUUCCUGAUGCU
This 73-nucleotide transfer RNA is filed under the name Stethojulis strigiventer (three-ribbon wrasse). RNAcentral describes it as "tRNA-Thr". It matches the Rfam family "tRNA". Rfam says of the family: Transfer RNA (tRNA) molecules are approximately 80 nucleotides in length. Their secondary structure includes four short double-helical elements and three loops (D, anti-codon, and T loops). Further hydrogen bonds mediate the characteristic L-shaped molecular structure. tRNAs have two regions of fundamental functional importance: the anti-codon, which is responsible for specific mRNA codon recognition, and the 3' end, to which the tRNAs corresponding amino acid is attached (by aminoacyl-tRNA synthetases). tRNAs cope with the degeneracy of the genetic code in two manners: having more than one tRNA (with a specific anti-codon) for a particular amino acid; and 'wobble' base-pairing, i.e. permitting non-standard base-pairing at the 3rd anti-codon position. The record is from RNAcentral. Lineage: Eukaryota; Metazoa; Chordata; Actinopteri; Labriformes; Labridae.